RNAcentral lists this ribosomal RNA (293 nucleotides) under uncultured bacterium. RNAcentral's name for it is "partial 16S ribosomal RNA". It matches the Rfam family "Bacterial small subunit ribosomal RNA", at positions 775 to 1067 of the family's 1533-position model. The record is from RNAcentral.
GGAUUAGAUACCCUGGUAGUCCACGCCGUAAACGAUGUAUGCUUGGUGUUAGAACAAAUUGUUGUUCUAGUGCCGGAGAUAAUUCGUUAAGCAUACCACCUGGGAAGUACGAUCGCAAGGUUGAAACUCAAAGGAAUUGACGGGGGCCCGCACAAGCGGUGGAUUAUGUGGUUUAAUUCGAUGCAACGCGAAGAACCUUACCCAGGCUUGAAGUGUAACGGACUGCUUCUGAAAGGAAGCUUCCCUUCGGGGUCGUUACAGAGGUGCUGCAUGGCUGUCGUCAGCUCGUGCCG